GUCCACGCCCUAAACGAUGAUUACUCGAUGUGUGCAAUACACCGCACGCGUCUGAGCGAAAGCAUUAAGUAAUCCACCUGGGGAGUACGGCCGCAAGGCUGAAACUCAAAGGAAUUGACGGGGGCCCGCACAAGCGGAGGAGCAUGUGGUUUAAUUCGAUGAUACGCGAGGAACCUUACCAGGGCUUGAAAGUUAGAGAAGCAAGCAGAAACGUUUGCGCCCGCAAGGGCUCGAAACUAGGUGCUGCAUGGCUGUCGU
Molecule: ribosomal RNA, 258 nt
Filed under: uncultured bacterium
Lineage: Bacteria
Description: partial 16S ribosomal RNA
Rfam family: Bacterial small subunit ribosomal RNA
Source: RNAcentral